UGGGGAAUAUUGCACAAUGGGCGCAAGCCUGAUGCAGCGACGCCGCGUGAGCGAUGAAGUAUUUCGGUAUGUAAAGCUCUAUCAGCAGGGAAGAUAAUGACGGUACCUGACUAAGAAGCACCGGCUAAAUACGUGCCAGCAGCCGCGGUAAUACGUAUGGUGCAAGCGUUAUCCGGAUUUACUGGGUGUAAAGGGAGCGUAGGUGGUUUGGUAAGUCAGAUGUGAAAGCCCGGGGCUCAACCCCGGUACUGCAUUUGAAACUACCAGACUGGAGUGCAGGAGAGGUAAGUGGAAUUCCUAGUGUAGCGGUGAAAUGCGUAGAUAUUAGGAGGAACACCAGUGGCGAAGGCGGCUUACUGGACUGUAACUGACACUGAGGCUCGAAAGCGUGGGGAGCAAACA
This 402-nucleotide ribosomal RNA is filed under the name uncultured prokaryote. RNAcentral describes it as "bacterial SSU rRNA". It matches the Rfam family "Bacterial small subunit ribosomal RNA", at positions 355 to 774 of the family's 1533-position model. The record is from RNAcentral.